RNAcentral lists this ribosomal RNA (505 nucleotides) under uncultured bacterium. RNAcentral describes it as "partial 16S ribosomal RNA". It matches the Rfam family "Bacterial small subunit ribosomal RNA", at positions 29 to 523 of the family's 1533-position model. The record is from RNAcentral.
AGUGAACGCUGGCGGUAGGCCUAACACAUGCAAGUCGAACGGCAGCACAGGAGAGCUUGCUCUCUGGGUGGCGAGUGGCGGACGGGUGAGGAAUACAUCGGAAUCUACUUGUUCGUGGGGGAUAACGUAGGGAAACUUACGCUAAUACCGCAUACGACCUACGGGUGAACGCAGGGGACCUUCAGGCCUUGCGCGAUUGCAUGAGCCGAUGUCGGAGUAGCUAGUUGGCGGGGUAAGGCGCACCAAGGCGACGACCCGUAGCGGGUCUGAGAGGAUGAUCAGCCACACUGGAACUGAGAAACGGUGCAGACUCCUACGGGAGGCAGCAGUGGGGAAUAUUGGACAAUGGGCGCAAGCCUGAUCCAGCCAUACCGCGUGGGUGAAGAAGGCCUUCGGGUUGUAAAGCCCUUUUGUCGGGAAAGAAAUCCAGCUGGCUAAUACCCGGUUGGGAUGACGGUACCCAAAGAAUAAGCACCGGCUAACUUCGUGCCAGCCGCCGCCGUAA